UGAGAAUGAUGUAGUGAUUUCAGGACCUCU
This 30-nucleotide non-coding RNA is filed under the name Rattus norvegicus (Norway rat). Lineage: Eukaryota; Metazoa; Chordata; Mammalia; Rodentia; Muridae. The record is from RNAcentral.